CCUACGGGAGGCAGCAGUGAGGAAUAUUGGUCAAUGGGCUUACGCCUGAACCAGCCAAGUCGCGUGAGGGAAGACUGCCCUAUGGGUUGUAAACCUCUUUUGUCAGGGAGCAACGCCGGCUACGUGUAGCCGGACUGAGAGUACCUGAAGAAAAAGCAUCGGCUAACUCCGUGCCAGCAGCCGCGGUAAUACGGAGGAUGCGAGCGUUAUCCGGAUUUAUGGGGUUAAAAGGGUGCGUAGGCGGAAUGCCAAGUCAGCGGUAAAAUCGCGGGGCUCAACCUCGCUCCGCCGUUGAAACUGGCGUUCUUGAGUGGGCGAGAAGUAUGCGGAAUGCGUGGUGUAGCGGUGAAAUGCAUAGAUAUCACGCAGAACACCGAUUGCGAAGGCAGCAUACCGGCGCCCAACUGACGCUGAAGCACGAAAGCGUGGGUAUCGAACAGGAUUAGAUACCCUGGUAGUC
This 460-nucleotide ribosomal RNA is filed under the name uncultured bacterium. RNAcentral describes it as "partial 16S ribosomal RNA". It matches the Rfam family "Bacterial small subunit ribosomal RNA", at positions 338 to 795 of the family's 1533-position model. The record is from RNAcentral.